AUUGAACGCUGGCGGCAUGCCUUACACAUGCAAGUCGAACGGUAACAGGUCUUCGGAUGCUGACGAGUGGCGAACGGGUGAGUAAUACAUCGGAACGUGCCCAGUAGUGGGGGAUAACUACUCGAAAGAGUGGCUAAUACCGCAUGAGAUCUACGGAUGAAAGCAGGGGAUCGCAAGACCUUGUGCUACUAGAGCGGCCGAUGGCAGAUUAGGUAGUUGGUGGGAUAAAAGCUUACCAAGCCGACGAUCUGUAGCUGGUCUGAGAGGACGAUCAGCCACACUGGGACUGAGAAACGGCCCAGACUCCUACGGGAGGCAGCAGUGGGGAAUUUUGGACAAUGGGCGCAAGCCUGAUUCAGCAAUGCCGCGUGCAGGAUGAAGGCCUUCGGGUUGUAGACUGCUUUCGUACGGAACGAAAAGCCCCGGGUUAAUACCCUGGGGUCAUGACGGUACCGUAAGAAUAAGCACCGGCUAACUACGUGCCAGCCGCCGCAGUAA
RNAcentral lists this ribosomal RNA (498 nucleotides) under uncultured bacterium. RNAcentral's name for it is "partial 16S ribosomal RNA". It matches the Rfam family "Bacterial small subunit ribosomal RNA", at positions 30 to 523 of the family's 1533-position model. The record is from RNAcentral.